UACGUAGGGGGCUAGCGUUGUCCGGAAUCAUUGGGCGUAAGGCGCGUGUAGGCGGCCCGGUAAGUCCGCUGUGAAAGUCGGGGGCUCAACCCUCGGAUGCCGGUGGAUACUGUCGGGCUCGAGUACGGAAGAGGCGAGUGGAAUUCCUGGUGUAGCGGUGAAAUGCGCAGAUAUCAGGAGGAACACCUAUUGCGAAGGCAGCUCGCUGGGACGUCACUGACGCUGAGACGCGAAAGCGUGGGGAGCAAACAGG
This 253-nucleotide ribosomal RNA is filed under the name uncultured bacterium. RNAcentral's name for it is "partial 16S ribosomal RNA". It matches the Rfam family "Bacterial small subunit ribosomal RNA", at positions 524 to 776 of the family's 1533-position model. The record is from RNAcentral.